Molecule: non-coding RNA, 31 nt
Filed under: Homo sapiens (human)
Lineage: Eukaryota; Metazoa; Chordata; Mammalia; Primates; Hominidae
Source: RNAcentral
GUGGUGAACUAUGCCCUUGGCCUGUGACAGU